This 497-nucleotide ribosomal RNA is filed under the name uncultured bacterium. RNAcentral describes it as "partial 16S ribosomal RNA". It matches the Rfam family "Bacterial small subunit ribosomal RNA", at positions 28 to 507 of the family's 1533-position model. The record is from RNAcentral.
GAUGAACGCUGGCGGCGUGCCUAAUACAUGCGAGUCGAGCGAACGGACGAGAAGCUUGCUUCUCUGAUGUUAGCGGCGGACGGGUGAGUAACACGUGGAUAACCUACCUAUAAGACUGGGAUAACUUCGGGAAACCGGAGCUAAUACCGGAUAAUAUUUUGAACCGCAUGGUUCAAAAGUGAAAGACGGUCUUGCUGUCACUUAUAGAUGGAUCCGCGCUGCAUUAGCUAGUUGGUAAGGUAACGGCUUACCAAGGCAACGAUGCAUAGCCGACCUGAGAGGGUGAUCGGCCACACUGGAGCUGAGACACGGUCCAGACGCCUACGGGAGGCAGCAGUAGGGAAUCUUCCGCAAUGGGCGAAAGCCUGACGGAGCAACGCCGCGUGAGUGAUGAAGGUCUUCGGAUCGUAAAACUCUGUUAUUGGGGAAGAACAUAUGUGUAAGUAACUGUGCACAUCUUGACGGUACCUAAUCAGAAAGCCACGGCUAACUACGUG